CCCUAGCCUGCCGGCCUUCCCACCCGACCUCUUUUCUGUUCGUCCCCCCUCCCCCUAUCGCAUCGUCUUCUUCUCGCCUACUGGCUCCUUGCCUCCUCUGCCCCCGUCCUUCUCUUCCCUCCGCCGCGUUCUCCCUUCCUCCUCUUACCCCGUAUCCGCAUCACGCGCCUCGCCGCCCUGUCGGUGCCUUACAAGCCGGUCCACCGUCAGAGGAGGAGGAUUCGUGGAGGACAGGAUGGAGGUGGGUGAGAUGGACGACGUGCAGGCGGUGGGAGAGCAGGUCAUCAGCAGCAGGGGCGGCUCCGUGCUCGGGAAGAAGACCAUCCUCAAAAGUGAUCACUUCCCCGGCUGCCAGAACAAGCGCCUCACCCCGCACAUCGACGGCGCGCCCAAUUACCGGCAGGCAGGAUCACUGCGUGUUCACGGUGUUGCAAUGCCGACAAUGGAAGGAAUUGUGAAUGUGCUAAAUCAUAUUGGGGCACAAAAGAAGGGAAAGCAAACCCGAGUUCUAUGGCAUAGUCUUCGAGAGGAACCAGUUAUCUAUAUCAAUGGUCGCCCUUUUGUUCUACGAGAUGCCGAAAGACCCUUCUCAAACCUUGAAUAUACGGGAAUCAACCGGGAGAGAGUCGAGCAGAUGGAGUUUCGUUUGAAAGAAGAUAUUCUUCAGGAAGCUUCAAGAUAUGGGAAUAAGAUCCUAGUUACUGAUGAGCUGCCGAAUGGUCAGAUGGUGGACCAGUGGGAGUCAGUGAUGUCUGAUACAGUUAAGACUCCACUUGAGGUCUAUGAGGAGUUACAACAUCAAGGAUACCUUGUUGAUUACGAGCGUGUUCCUAUAACUGAUGAAAAAGCUCCGAAAGAAGGGGAUUUUGAUAACCUGGUACAUCGAAUCUCUCAAGUUGAUAUGGAGACUGAAAUUGUAUUCAAUUGUCAAAUGGGGAGGGGACGGACUACUACCGGCAUGGUCAUAUCUACGUUAGUUUACCUAAAUCGGAUAGGAGCUUCAGGUAUCCCAAGGACAAGUUCAAUUGGGAAGGUUUUCUAUGCUGGAAAUGAUGUAGAUGACUACAGUCCUAGCUCAGAAGAAGCAAUUCUCAGAGGAGAAUAUGCUGUCAUUAGGAGCUUAGUCCGAGUUCUGGAGGGUGGUGUUGAAGGCAAAAGACAAGUGGACAAAGUUAUUGAUAAAUGUGACUCUAUGCAGAACCUGAGAGAAGCUAUUGCGACCUACCGCAAUAGCACUCUUCGGCAACCUGAUGAGAUGAAACGGGAGGCAUCACUUUCCUUCUUUGUGGAGUACUUGGAACGUUAUUACUUCCUCAUAUGUUUUGCUGUCUAUGUACAUUCGGUGAGCUCUGCUCACCAAGCAACAUCUUCAGGAGUUCAUUUUUCUGACUGGAUGAGAGCAAGACCUGAACUGUACAGUAUUCUUCGAAGGCUGCUGAGGAGAGAUCCAAUGGGCGCUCUUGGUUAUUCAAGCUCAAAACCCACUCUUCCAAAAAUUAUUGAAUCUGCUGACGGGCGCCCACAUGAGAUGGAUGUUGUUGCUGCCAUGAGGAAUGGAGAAGUUCUUGGACGUCAAACUGUUUUAAAAAGUGAUCACUGUCCAGGGUGUCACAAUCUUAAUUUGCCUGAAAGAGUUGACGGUGCACCUAAUUUCCGGGAAAUUCCGGGGUUUUCAGUCUAUGGUGUUGCAAAUCCUACUGUUGAUGGCAUUCGGGCUGUUAUUCAGCGAGUUAGUACAAGCAAGGGAAACCGGCCGAUACUCUGGCAUAAUAUGAGAGAAGAGCCCGUCAUUUAUAUACAUGGAAAGCCUUUUGUGCUACGAGAAGUAGAAAGACCGUACAAGAAUAUGCUGGAGUACACGGGGAUUGGUCGUGAUAGAGUUGAGCGUAUGGAAGCUCGGUUGAAGGAGGAUAUUUUACGAGAAGCAGAACGGUAUGAUGGGGCAAUAAUGGUUAUUCAUGAAACCGACAAUGGUGAGAUCUUUGAUGCAUGGGAAAAUGUCAAUAAUGAAGCUGUUCUGACUCCACUGGAGGUAUACAAAUGUUUGGACUCUGAAGGCCUUCCAAUCAAAUAUGCACGAGUGCCCAUUACCGAUGGUAAGGCCCCCAAAAGUUCAGAUUUUGAUACGGUAGCCUUUAAUGUCGCAGCUGCUUGCAAGGAUGCUGCUCUUGUAUUCAACUGCCAGAUGGGCAGGGGCAGAACAACUACUGGUACUGUGAUUGCUUGCCUGCUCAGACUUCGAAUCAAUCACGGCAGACCUAUUGGAAUGCCAGCCAUCCAAAAUAAUCAUGAAGAUACAACUGAUGCCGAUUACUCAAGCGGAGAAGAAACAAUGGACCACAAUGGUCACUUGAAUUCAGAAUCAUGGAAACCUCACACUUUGACAGAGCUACACCCUAGAUUUGACAUUAAUGACAUCCUUCUGUUGCGAAAGAUUACAAGGCUAUUUGACAAUGGGAUUGAGUGUAGACAGAUUUUAGAUACUGUUAUUGACAAGUGUUCAGCUUUGCAGAACAUUCGCCAAGCUGUUUUGCAAUACACAAAGGUGAUUAAUCAACAAAAUCUGGAGCCAAGAGUUAGGAGAGUCGCAUUAAAUCGUGGUGCUGAAUAUUUGGAGAGGUACCUGAAAUUAAUUGCAUUCUCAGCAUACCUCGGGAGUGAAGCAUUUGAUGGUUUCUGCGGGCAAGGAGAAACAAAGAUCUCAUUUAAAAAUUGGCUGCAACAGCGUCCGGAGAUCCAAACCAUGAAAUGGAGCAUAAGACUGCGACCUGGGCGUUUUUUCACUGUACCUGAUGAGCAUAAAGCAACAUGUCAACCUCUGCAAAGUGAUGUAACGAUGGAGGCCAUCGUGAAAGCCCGUAAUGGUUCUGUUCUGGGAAAGGGAUCCAUACUCAAAAUGUAUUUCUUUCCUGGGCAGAGAAGGUCAAGCAGCAUGAACUUCCGUGGUACACCACAUGUUAUCAAGGUGGAUGGAUACCCUGUGUAUAGCAUGGCAACACCAACUGUUGAUGGAGCUAGAGAAGUUCUGUCGUAUUUGGGCUGUAAGGAUACAACUGGAAGAGACAUUAUUCAGAAGGUGGUCAUCAUGGAUCUUAGGGAGGAAGUGGUAGUUUACAUCAAGGGAACACCGUUUGUUUUGAGAGAGUUAGAUCAACCUGUUGAUACACUGAAGCAUGUGGGCAUAAGUGGCCCAAUGGUAGAGAACAUAGAGGCAAGGCUGAAGGAGGAUAUACUUUCUGAAGUUAAACAGCUAGAAGGUCGGCUGCUUCUGCAUCAAGAAGAAUUUAACACAGCCACAAAUCAAUGCAGUGUAUUAGGUUAUUGGGAGCACAUAGAUCUGGAGGACGUAAUGACACCGGCUGAAGUGUACAGCACAUUGAGGGAUCAGGGGUAUUGUAUUGACUACAAAAGGAUACCUCUGACCAGGGAAAGAGAAGCAUUAGCUGCUGAUGUUGAUUCAAUACAAUCAUCAAUCAAUGAAUCUUCUAGGUACUAUCUCUUUGUUUCACACACGGGAUAUGGUGGUGUUGCUUAUGCAAUGGCCAUUACAUGCCUGAGACUUGGUGCAGAUGCAAAGUUUGUCAUGGAACAAACAGCAGAAACACACUUCGUAUCAAGUUCUCUUACAAAAAGUGUACCUGUGAAAACCUUCACUGACAUAGCCCUCAGGCAGGGGGACUACCGUGACAUACUAAACCUUACUAGAGCACUGAUACAUGGUCCUAAAAGCAAAGAAGAGGUUGACAAAGUUAUUGACAGAUGUGUUGGUGCUGGGGAUUUGCGGGAGGAUAUUUUGCAAUACAGGAAGGCAUUGCGAGAUUGUUCACAUGAUGAUGAUGAUGAUGAGGCACGGUCAUAUCUCAUGGAUAUGGGGACUAAAGCUUUGAGGCAAAAAUGGUCCAUACAACAAUGAAGCAACUAAUUUUAGAAAUGCCACUGAGAACACCCAAUUGACUGCCAUGUGAAACAGCGGUUGUUUACAAUUUGCAACAUAUCACUGGCAAGAUCAAGGAGGUUCUAUUCAGGUACAAAUGAUCAUUUAUGUUAGAAAAGGUACAAAUGAUUUUUCUUCUAAGAAUUAGUACAAGAAAUCAUUUUCCUUCAAAAGAGAGAUUUUUUUUCAAAACUAUCACGUUAUUUGAAGCAAAUUCGGAAACUACAGCAUACUUUGGAGAAAUAUCAAGUCUAGCACCCUGUCGGCCAGGUGUUGGCCAAAAAGGGUGUUUUCGGCCACCUCUAGGCCGAAAUAGGGUUUUCGGCCAUGCCUUGGCCGAAAAGGUGCAAAGCUGGCCGAAGAGGGGUGUUUUCGGCCACCCUUUGGCCGAAAAGGACUUUUUGGCCUAGUGUAGGCCGAAAAGUACUUGUUGGUCAAUCGUAGGCCGAAAAGUACUUUUUGGUCAAGUUUAGACCGAAAAGUCCCUUGGACCACCUUUUUCCGUUAACUGUUGGCCAAUGUAUUUUCCCGCCAACCCCUUCGUUGAUGCAACCCUCUUGCCCUUCGAUGAUGUGGUCCUUUUGCCAUCCGUCGAUGCAGAACUAUUGCCCUUCGAGGAUGCAGAAGUCUUGCCCAACAGAUAACGGAAAGGUAGGCCCAAGGGACUUUUCGGCCUACACUAGACCAAAAAGUACUUUUCGGCCUAGUGUAGACCAAAAAGUACUUUUCGGCCUACAUUUGACCAAAAAGACCUUUUGGGCCAAACAGCAGCCGAAAACAGCCAUUUCGGCCAGCUCAAUCACUUUUCGGCCAUGGCAAGGCCGAAAACCCUACUUCGGCCAACAGUUGGCCGAAAACUACCUUUUCGGUCUGCACGUGGCCGACAGGGUCAUAGUUUUGCAAUUUUUUCAUUAUGUGUUAUAGUUUCCGAAAUUGCUACAAAAUACGUCAUAGUUUUGAAAAAAAAUCCAAAAGAGAACCAUUGAAUUGAUGAUUUAUUUUGUUUGUAAAUGACACUGUUGCGGUUAGUGAUACACCAAUACACUAUACAAGGGCUUGCACUUUAGAGUGGAAUAUAUUUUUGAAUUUGCCGCCACGCGGUGCUCCUAUGUGCCAAGAGUAUUGCCAUUAGAUAUCCACUAGCAACAUUUUAUCUUCUAUACUAAUUGGGCUAGUGGCAACAAGCUGAGUUGACUAUCCAUGGCUGGAGUCACCUGACGCGUUUGGCAUUAGAAAAAUGUUUUGGUGCUACUUUUGGAAUAAUGCAAGUGAUCAUUUGCACUCAUGCCAAACCUUACGGCCUUGAGAGUGAAGAGAACUCGUUUUGAAGGCAAGAGUGAGCGCAUGAGACCAAACCUUACCCUCCCUCCCACAUUGGCCACUCUGUUGGAUGUCCACCUCCCGCCGACCGCCACUUUGGCCCUGAGGGUCACUCCCCUUCCCAACCCCCACUUCCGAGCUCCCCUUUCUGUAACCAUGGACCACUUGUCCAGCGGUAGCCCUGAACAGCAACACGUCCGUGAGGAUCGUUGGGGCGGCAGCUUGGACUCGUCUAAUGAAGAUUCGCGGCGCUCGUAGCACGGUGUCGUUAAUGGGAAGGCCAUGGCGGUGGAGGUUGCCGAGUCUCAGUGUGUGUGUUAGGGCCCUCGCUCGGAGGGUCACGUGGUGGACUCUGACAAUGGCUUUGAUGAGUUGGAUGACCCAAACGAGGAUGAAGACAUGGGUGUGGAGCAGCCCAAGAGCAAGCGUUGAGAUGGUGGUCGUCGCGGUAGCAAGCGCAGGUUGGCGGUGACAGGUGAAGGUCGCCACCCCGCCUUUGAUAGACCGUGCCUGCUCUAUAUGGACCCUAACCACUGCAUCGCCGACUGUACGACAGAGCCGACAUGGCAGUUUUUCGGCUCACCGGCUGGUGUCUGCACGCAACUAGGAUCACCAGGGAGGACUUCUUCAUGGUGCAAUCGGAUGAUCCGUCAUUGUCACAACAUUGGCAGGCUGUUUGAGCUCGUCAUGCCGCUGAACGUCAAGACCCAUGUCUCGCUGUUUAUCCAUGUGGCCCUGAUGGUUGAUUACCAUUGUUCGCCCAUGCGGUCAGACUUUGGUUGGUCACGAGGUGCUUCAAGUACACGCUAGGGAGACUAGAUUCGCUAUCGUCGACCUGCGGCGGUGUUGCCUUCGCUCCGGGCACCUCUAAUGAUUGAUUAGGCUAGUCCUGCUUGAGAUAGGUGGCGUCAUGGAAGAUGUGGCCACCUCCGCCAAUGGAAGACUAUAGGAGCAUGGAUGAUUUGCAUGCUUUGUUCGACAAGGCCGAGUAGGAGGGUCUCCUAUCUCAUCUGGGUUAUUGCGUCCUGAGAGACUAUCUUUAUAUGUUGAUGAUGUGAUUGUGCUCAUCCAGGCUUGUACGGACGAGGCUUAUGCCGUUAAUUACCUUCUUGAUAUGUUUGGUAGGGCCUCUGGCCUCCGAUGUAAUAUGAGCAACAGUUCUUUGUCUCCCAUCGUGCCGAGGAAAUUAGUGACAUCAUGUGUUGCAAAAUCUGCCCUCUGCUCGUCAAGUAUCUUGGUCUCCCGUUGAGUCUCAAGAAAGUAUGUAAGGAAGAACUCCAGAAGUUAAUUGAUAUUAUCAGGAACAAAUUGGUAGCACGGCAGACGGGUUUUCUCAUCCAGGGUGGUUGUUGCUAAUGAGUAAUUGAGUAUUGGUACUAGUCUAGAAGUCCUUAUCAUGCUAUGUUUCUUUGUACCCCAAGUCUUGCGUACUAUAUAUUUGCCCCUUGGGCUAUGCAGUAGAGAUGAGUUGCAUCCAUAACAUUGUAUUGGAGCCUAGGUAUUUCUUUUAGCACAGCAACUCAUGCUUCCCCUAUCCAAUCUUGCACCGCCGUUGCUUUCUAUUCCUCGGCUGUCUCUGCUUUUCUCUACUCGCACGUUCGCGUUUUGCUCAUCUCCUCUGAGCAACCGCCAUGUUUGGUCAACAGCCGUUGCUCCUGUCUGCUCGUAAUGACGGAUUGUGCUGCGCCCCACUGAUUUCCCACCGGAUCCGGCUGUCGUGAAGGUUGUCGCUGCUGGUCAACUCUACCACGCCGGAUCCCGCCGCCCUGAAGGUUGCCGCUGCCCCAGUCAACUCUGCCAUGCCGGAUCCCGUCGCCUAGAAGGUCGCCGCCGCCCCAGUCAACUCUCCCAUGCCAGAUCCACCGCCCCGAAGGUCGCCGCUGCCCCACCGCUCCAUUCAACUCUGCGUCGCCGGAUUUUGCUUGGAUCCCUCCCGAUUUCCGCCCGUGUACACCGUCCCCUGCCAGAUCCCGCCCGUCCGCCGUCACUUGCUAGAUGCCCGUUGACUCGGCUGGGUCUCGUUCGGCUGGAUCAGACCUUCUCGCUUGGGUCGCUGCUUCCUCUCAUUAGUUUGGGCUGAACCGAUUGCUUGGUGUUUAAAGAAAAGAUUAUAUAAAAAAGCAGUUUCUGGUGAGGUCUCCGGUCCGCCGCAUCCAGUUCUUCCUGUGGCUCCUACUCCGCCAACAUCACAGGCUAUUGCUGCGGAUGCUCCUCAAGCUGCUAAGGACGCUGCUAAGCUUGCUGAUGAGACUGCGGAUCAUGCUUAUGAGCAGCAGGUUUUGGCCUCGCUACCGUCUUCGAGAUGUGGAAAUGUUUUUGCCAGCGCUAGCAGCCCUUUGGUGAUGCGUUAUACCUGUUUGUGGUUUGCCAGGAGCAUGCUCUUCAGCAGGGUGACUCCAUUGUUGAUGAUUCCUACGCAUAGAGUUCUGCUAUCUAGCGCCGGCUUGACUCUCUUCACUGCUGGUUGUCCUACUUGCCAGUGUUGCCAGGCUGUGUGGCCAGACUUGGAGUUUCAUCGUGUCUACGAGUUCUUGUCUCAACUUCAUAAGGAGUUUGAGCCAUGGCGGUGGCAUGCUGAGUUGUUUGCUCGUGGCUGUAUUUCAUGAGAUACGGGCGGAGGAGACUCGCCUUUGUGGGGCAGGUUUACUUGAUGUUCCCUCUGUGCUUGAGCUCUUUCUACGCCGUCUGCUAUACCGUUGUUUUUCCGCUCCAGUGCUCCGCCACUCCACUCUUGGUGGCGAGGAUCGCUCUCGUACUCAUUGUGGCUACUACGGGGAUGGUCACCUCGAGCCUGAUUGGUUCUUGAAGAAGCGACAUCUACGCCAGGCACGCAUAACAACUUCAGAGAUUUGUCCUUGACUCAGCAGGAUAUUGUGCGACUUAAGCGUCUGGUUGCAACUUCGGGUUCUAAAUCAAUAGAUUAAAUCGGUCUUGCUGCUGACUCUUCUAGCUCAGAGAGACCACCCUCUUCACAGUUAGGAGCACAACACAAGAGCUCUGCUUGGUUUUGGCCUUCGUCUCUAUGAUUUUUCUUUCACGCCAUCGCAUCUAUAGUCUAGUAUGUGCUAUCUAGUUUUCUAUAAUUUCGCUGCGUCCACCAAGUCUGUUGCUCUUUUUCGUGUUUCUCAUGUCAUGCGAGUCCACGAUACCUUUAUCCGUCAGCCUUUUGUCCUUGUCCUUUCUAUAGGAUUUUUGUGGCCUCCUUUUGGAUUGUCGAUCUACACCCAUUCUCUUGCCGCCGAGCUUCUUUCGCCGCCGGUUUUCUUGGGCUAUGAGUUUUUGCACAAUGUUUCAUUCUCUUGAUGUACCAUUUUCUUUUGACAACCCAUCUUCUCUUGUAUCUUCUACCGAUGCGGUGUCUUCCUCUGAUGCGGCAUCUUCUUUGUUAUUUAUCCCCUUUGGCUUGACUCAACAGGUUAUUAAGACUCUAAAUGCUAUGACAAAACUGUCAGGACAUAGUUUAAGGAGUAUUAGUAUUGUCUAGGAGUCCUUAUUAGGCUAUGUUUCCUUCUUUGUACCCCAAGUCUUGUGUACUAUAUACUCCCUCCGUUCCUAAAUAUAAGUCUUUUAGAGAUUUCAAUAAGAACUACAUAUGGGUGUAUAUAGACAUAUUUUAGAGUGUAGAUCCUCUCAUUUUGCUCCGUAUGUAUGUCAGUACUAGCGCACUUACAGCAGUCAUCAAGCAAAGGACAAGGAAGAUCAGCGCCAAGAAGAAAGUAGAGAAAAUGAGCAUGUGAUUCAAAUCGAGUGUUGGGCUGAAAGGGUAGCGUGUGUAAGUGUGGGCCAUGGGCCGGCCCAGUCAUGUAAGUGAGUCGUGCGUAUAUAAGCAAUGGUCGACUACUGUAGCAAGGCAUCGAUGAUAUAAAAUUUAUUCUGAA
This is an RNA transcript of Triticum aestivum (bread wheat), 9132 nucleotides long. It is a transcript of the gene named paladin, with no coding region annotated. NCBI's taxonomy places the organism in Eukaryota, Viridiplantae, Streptophyta, Magnoliopsida, Poales, Poaceae. The record is from RefSeq and is a predicted model, not a curated record. The transcript is spliced from 21 exons.